CCAAACACAGGCAGAGAUUGCUCAUUAGUUACAUUAAUCUUGACCUAAUGGAAGUCUUGGCUUAGCAAGGUGGCACUUAGCAUGGAUGAGACUAAUGUUCUAAAUGUAGGAUGCUGGAAGAACAGAAAGUAAGCUACUAUAAGGUCAUGUGCCUUAUUCUCAACAUUUAGUUUAUGGAUUCUGAUAGAAUCCAGUGGGCUGUAAUUCUACAGAAGCAUCACUGAAGGACAGAGUGGCACUACCAUACCAAAUCCUGCUUAAAUCAUGGCAGCAAAGUCUGCCGCUAGUCGUGCAUCCAAACCCAAACUCAGUUCUGCUCUUCCCAGUAUUUCCAAGGUUUCUGCUCCUGAUGCUGAUUUUAUUCUCUUAUCCUUGUUGAUAAUGAACGUAUUUAUUGUACUGGAUCUACUGAUGUUAAGAACUGACACUUGGAUACUAUCUGCUAUGAUGUGAUGCAGCCAGGACAGUCUUCACAAGACCCAGUGCAAUUCUGUUUGAACUUUCAGCCUCCAGAACUGACCUGUGUGGAUUCCUGCUCAUUGUGCUCACCCUGCAUGGCAUCAUGAGUUGGCUUCAAGGCCUUCAGGACCCUAUCUCCCAGUUCCACUUCAGGUUCGAGAAGAGAGAGGUGUCAAACCUCCUCAGUUUGUCAGAGCACCAGUUACCUGAGGAGACCUCAAGUCACUAGUCGUUUAGCUGAGCAAUUGCUUCAACAUGAACACCAAGAAGAAACCCCUAAGACUCUUUACAGUCAUAAUGACUCAA
Oryctolagus cuniculus (rabbit) is the source of this 765-nucleotide non-coding RNA. The record is from RefSeq and is a predicted model, not a curated record. Lineage: Eukaryota; Metazoa; Chordata; Mammalia; Lagomorpha; Leporidae.